GACGAACGCUGGCGGCGUGCUUAACACAUGCAAGUCGAGCGGUAAGGCCCUUCGGGGUACGACGAGCGGCGAACGGGUGAGUAACACGUGGGUGACCUGCCUCUAGCUCUGGGAUAAGCCUGGGAAACUGGGUCUAAUACCGGAUAUGACUCCACGGCGCAUGUUGUGGGGUGGAAAGCCUUGUGUGGCUAGAGAUGGGCCCGCGGCCUAUCAGCUUGUUGGUGGGGUGAUGGCCUACCAAGGCGACGACGGGUAGCCGGCCUGAGAGGGCGACCGGCCACACUGGGACUGAGACACGGCCCAGACUCCUACGGGAGGGCAGCAGUGGGGAAUCUUGCGCAAUGGGCGAAAGCCUGACGCAGCGACGCCC
This 370-nucleotide ribosomal RNA is filed under the name uncultured bacterium. RNAcentral's name for it is "bacterial SSU rRNA". It matches the Rfam family "Bacterial small subunit ribosomal RNA", at positions 28 to 399 of the family's 1533-position model. The record is from RNAcentral.